This 405-nucleotide ribosomal RNA is filed under the name Enterobacter cloacae. RNAcentral's name for it is "bacterial SSU rRNA". It matches the Rfam family "Bacterial small subunit ribosomal RNA", at positions 1129 to 1533 of the family's 1533-position model. Lineage: Bacteria; Pseudomonadati; Pseudomonadota; Gammaproteobacteria; Enterobacterales; Enterobacteriaceae. The record is from RNAcentral. RNAcentral also lists the same sequence under 21 other names.
GGCCGGGAACUCAAAGGAGACUGCCAGUGAUAAACUGGAGGAAGGUGGGGAUGACGUCAAGUCAUCAUGGCCCUUACGAGUAGGGCUACACACGUGCUACAAUGGCGCAUACAAAGAGAAGCGACCUCGCGAGAGCAAGCGGACCUCAUAAAGUGCGUCGUAGUCCGGAUUGGAGUCUGCAACUCGACUCCAUGAAGUCGGAAUCGCUAGUAAUCGUAGAUCAGAAUGCUACGGUGAAUACGUUCCCGGGCCUUGUACACACCGCCCGUCACACCAUGGGAGUGGGUUGCAAAAGAAGUAGGUAGCUUAACCUUCGGGAGGGCGCUUACCACUUUGUGAUUCAUGACUGGGGUGAAGUCGUAACAAGGUAACCGUAGGGGAACCUGCGGUUGGAUCACCUCCUUA